Molecule: long non-coding RNA, 5619 nt
Filed under: Homo sapiens (human)
Lineage: Eukaryota; Metazoa; Chordata; Mammalia; Primates; Hominidae
Description: HSALNT0338719
Source: RNAcentral
UUUAAUACUCAGUGUAUACAUUUUGCAGAUUAAAUUUAAAUACGUAUUUUGGACCAGUUAUUUGAUAAAAUUUCUUCAGACGUUGUUUUUCAAACCAUCAUCAUAAAUUUAACAUAUCUGAUUUUCGUAAGUACUUCAAACCCCUAGCAAGGGAAAACUGUAAAUCUAAUGAAUAAGAUCUUCUCAGGCAAUUAGACAAUAUUUACAAACAGGCUGCUUGACUCAAAGGUGACUUCCUUAAAUCCGAGUUUCUCAGCCCCAGCACUGUGGAUGUUUUGAGCGGGUAAUUCUUUGUUAUGGAGGCUGUCCUACAACAGGGUCUUAAGAGGCCAGCAGCACCUCCCAGUUGUGACAAUAAAAAUUAUCUCCCCACAGUACCAAGGUUACCCCUGACUGGGAACCAUUGCCUUAAGUAUUUAAACACUGAUGAAAAGCUUAAUCUUUUUAAAACUUUAAAAUUCUUAAGCAUUUUGAUAAGCUCACAAAUUUAUACUUCAGAUGCUCAUAAACUUCAGAUGCCUUUAAAAAUUAAAAUAUCAAAACUCUUACAAAGCUCAUUGCUUCAAGUCCAGUUGACCGAUUACCAAAUCAGCCAGAGAAUUUUCUUCUCUGGCUGUCUACACCCCUGUCUCCCUUCCGGGACUUUCUGACCCUGCUAAGGGGAUGUGCUCACCCAACUAGAAGCUGUGGAAUUACCUCUCAGGCUGCCUGAGGUCACGCACUCAUGGUUUCUGGUCAGAGUCUCAGGUCAGAGGACAAGAACUGAGGGUUGAGGUCAGAGAUUUGGGACCAGCAGGGGCUCCGGGGCGCCGCUUGCGGGGUGGUGAGCCCCGUAUUGGCUCCAUGACUCCUUCAUGGGGCCUCCCAGCCCACGCCCUUCGCUGGGCCUCGCAAACCUCCCGGGAUCCGGUGAGUCCAGCUUCCUUUGUAGCCUUGUCGCUUUAGAAAUGUUAUUACUCAUUUUGACCUGACAGAGUUUACCGCCUUCUGAGCCAGCCUUUCACGCGAUUGGCCAGGUAGGGCCCUGAACGCCUGUGUGGGUGGAUCAGUGCACACACGCGCGGUAGACGUGAUCUGGGGCUCGCAGGGCCUCCUGGUCCUGCUGCACACGGCUGGCCGACCCUUCCUCUCAGCGUUCCCCUCUCAGACUCCAUAGAUAAUGAUGCUUAUUUUUAACAGCGACGUUAUUAUUUGUGGUUGAAGUUUUACAGCAGAGCAAUUUCUGAUCUCAGCUCUAAAGAGAACAUCUACCUCUGUGGGUUAUUUUCCACCGGUAUGUUUGGAAUUUGCUUGUGCUGUAAUUUGGCAACUCCUGAAACUUUAGCCUAAAAAAUUUUGUGUGAGGUUUUGAAACGAUACUUAGAAACCUGAGAAAAAUAUAAAACACUCUCAGAUCCACACAUCAAGCAUGAGGCCUUUUCCUAAAGUACUCAGUGUUUGUUGAGGGAGUGAAUGGAGGCCCCCAAGCCUUCAUUAAUUCUGAUGCGGACCCCUGAGCUCUCCUUGUCCUCUGGGCUCGCGACUCCCUCCUUCUUCUGAGGCAAAUGGGGAGGUUUGAGCACAAACACUCACUGGAAUUAAGCCUGGUUUGUAGGACUCGCGGGGGAGGGAGGGGAACACCAGCUACAGAGUCAGGGACCCUGUCUGGGGCUCCCAAGGCUCACAGCAGGUGUUCAGCAGCAGGUGACGCUCACACCUGCCUCUGGUUGGGCCUGUUUAACUGCUCACACCUGCCUCUGGUUGGGCCUGUUUAACUGCUCACACCUGCCUCUGGUUGGCGGCCUAUUUAACUCCUCACCUGCCCGUCUUCUACUCUGAUCACAAAGAUCCCUCGUCCCCGCCCCCCACAACCCCCUACAACCUCCUCUGUUUUGCAUGCGAGGUCCCUCACAGCGUAGGCUCAGGCCCUAGGAAGAGUGGAGGAGCUGCUGGAGCAGCAGAUGCGGCGAGGACUGCUGGACCUGGGGAUCCUGCUACCUGGCCUGUUGCCGUCUGUGGCCCACCAGCCCCAUUAGGGCAGCAACAACGCCCAGAGGAGCCUCUCGCUUAACCAGGUAAGAAUUCGGAAGGAAGUCUUUGGCUUAUGGCUGCUGUGGACUGAAAUGGAUCCCCCAGGAUCCAUGCACUGAAGUCCUAAGCCCCCUGUGACGGUGUUAGGGUGGGGUCUUUGGGAGGUGCUGAGGUUGGAUGGAGUCCUGUGGGUGGAGGCCUCAGGAUGGCACAGGUGUCCCUGCAAGAAGAGAAAAGGGAGUGCUGGCUUCCUCCUCGGCCUUGCCAAGCUCAGUGAGAAGGUGCCUCUGUGAGCCAGGAAGAGGCCUCAGUGGACCCUCCUCUGCUGGCACCUUGACCCCAGGCUUGCAGUCCCAAGCUGGGGGAUGGGCAUCUGCUGCUGAAGCACCUUUGGCUGUGGCUUUGUUUAUGGCCUGGGCUGGCUCGGAUGCUGGUCUCAGCAGCCUGGAAGAGAACGGGGUCAGGCCGGCACCCCCUUGGAGGAAGCGAGGCCGGCAGACGGGCUGUGUGCGGGUGCCUGUCCUGGCCUCAAGCGCUCCGCGCUGUCUCCUUUAGGGAACGUGGGAUGUAAAUCCACACUGAUGUGUGGCUUCUCAUGGCCUUCCUCCGUGCGGAUAAACGGCGACCCCGCUUUAGUAGCAGCCAGAAGUGAAUUCCAGACAAUAUGCACGGAGUGUACGGGCGAGCCCUGGCUGCACUGUGGACGAUGACCAGGCCCACGGGACAGCAGCCGGGUCCGCCCGUUUCCUCCUGGCCCCAUCUGGUAAUCAGGCUUUGCCCUGGGCAGACUGCCCGGCAGCCUGGGCCGUGUUUGUCUUGGCGCACGUCCUGCGUCCGCUGCUGGUUCACGGUCGUGGUGCAUCUCUUGCGUGAAAUGUGCCCUUGCCUCACAGCCCCACCGUGUCCCUGUGAUAUGUGGGUACGAACACAGGCCCCUAAGCAAGAGCAAAUUGCAUUUCCUCCCCAGAGGGACGCGGUUCUUCCUGAGCUCCGGGGACCUCGCGGUAGCCUUCAAACACAUGGCAGUGUGGCACCCUUGAGUCCCACAAAGCUGAGAGAACCUCAUGGUCUGUGUUACUAAACUCUGUCAUAUCCUGAAACGAUGACCUCUCCAACCCAUCAUAAUCAUAACAAUGAAUUUCAGAUAUGCCUGAACACCAAAAGCAGUAGGUAAAGGUGAUUUUUCUUUGUUUUCUGAAGCCGGAGGGGUAUGAACACUCCCCGGGCACACACUCGCACACUCCCUGCGUGAGUCUCAAGGCUGGACAGGGCAUUUCCACAAAAGAAACCUGUGGAAAGCAGCCCUUCUUCUUGGCGAGGCCUGGAAGUGGCUCGGUCCCUGAGGACGUGGGGGGCGUUCUCCUCAGCGUCCACUUAGGUUUCAGCGAAGAAGUCCAGGACAUUGGUGCAAGCAAACACGGUUUUCCUCGCCAGCUCUUCUUUCACUGUGUUGUGAUUGGGUGUUGGGUCUGUUGAUGGAAAUAAAGCCAGGUCAGCAUCAGCAGGGCUGACACGAGGGAGCCCACGUUGAGCCGGAGCAGCCGUGGGGGCUUGGGCUUUUAACAGCUUUGUCCAAGUAGGCACGGGUAGCCCCAGUGUCCCGGGAGCUAUGAGUCCCAGUGGCACCCACAACCUGUUGAGCUAGGAGGCCUGGAGGGGCAGGUGGCUGAUCCGUGGCAGCUCCAGGGGCCCGCCCCUGCUGAGCUGGACAGCAAAUAUGCCAACACCACGCAGGGGUGAUUUUACGACAGGAAGAGAGGCCGGGAUGUGAGUCUUCCCGACCAACCAGGCCCCGGGAAGCUGUGGUGGAAUUUCACGCUCAACUGCAGGGCACUGUGGGCAGGGAUGUAUGUCUGCUGACCCUGGCUUGCACCCAGGCUGACCGCACAAUCCCCGUUCAGUGAGGGAGGCAGCUGAGUUCAAAAAAGAUCGGGUUUGAGCGGUAAAUACCACUCAGGUCUUCCUCCUCUUGGAUUUGAUUUAUGUUUUCUGGAGCCGAGCAAACAUACCACACUGUGGUCCUUGCUAGGGAGGGUGCGCAGUAUUCCUCAGGCUGGGGCCACCUCCGACCUGCACAGUGGACUCACGCCGUCCCCACACUUGCCCUCUUACUGCCCCGUGCUCUCUGGAGUUGGGACCCCCUGGCCUGGAGAUGUACCCAGAGGAGAGAGUGAAAGGGAGGAGCCAACGCAGAGACUGGCAGGUCUUUUUGCAAAAACCAAGUCAAGUGCCCCGUGGGCUCCACCCAGGAGAGUGCCCGGGGGUCCCCUGGGUAACAGGGUUAAUGCAGCCCAGGCCUGCCUGCCCCCAGGCUGUGGGGUGCGGGUGCGUGCUUGGCAGGAGCAGGCCUGAUGCAGAAGGGGAUUCCGGGGCCUCCCCAUCACGCUGCCAGCCUUUUCCCAUCCUCCAGGGUGCUGCUGAGGCCAAGGGAACUGGGUCAGGGCAGGGUGGCACCUAGGAGCUGCCAGCUGCACUUAUUUUCAUUUUAUUACUAGCUUUUUGGUAUCCUCGGGGAACUGUUUCUGGCCAACUCACAUUCACCCCUGGCCUGUACCUCACAGGUUCAAGGAGCAGCUGAACCUCGGCCCACAUCUCAGGGAAUCAGCAGUGAGUCCAGAUCUCACCGCACCUUCCCGGAAGUCACUUGGUCCCUGGAGAUUCAAAACCGUGUGAGGCACAAACAGCAGCGAUGGUCUCUGGUCUCCACCGACUUGGCCGAACUUCCAACUUCUUCUGAAUAAACCUUGGGACUUAAGGAGAACCUGCAACAAAUCCAGCUGAAUCUCUGCACUCCCAUAAAGAGACCUGGCAGUCUCUCUCAGAACAUGUCCCUUGGGAGCUCCAAGUCAACCUGCAACAAAUCCAGAAGCUUCCUUGCCUGAGAGACCACAUGGAAAGGUGAACUCACCAUCUUUGGAGUCACCUGAUGUCUAUAGCUCUUGUUGGGUAAGGGUGAAGAUUGCACUGUGAGAGCCUCAACAAUGAACACUAAUAUGAUUUGGGAACAAGAUAUACAAGAAGAGAUAGACUAUGAACCACCUUCAGAUACAGAAUAAGAACAAAAAAAGAGAAAACAAAAUACAGGUUUCUGAAUCUGUCAUGAGGCAUAACAAGACCUAGGCCAUCUGGUGACCAAAGAAUUAAAGACUGAGGGUCCUCAAAAACUCUAUUGAAAAAGAAGAACAAAAUUAGAGGACUCACAUGUGCUGAUUUCAACUUACUACAAAGCUACAGUACUAAGUACUUGUAUUGGCACAAAGAUAGACAUAGAUGAAUAGAAUAGAACUGUGAUUCCAGAAAUAUAUCCUUUGUUCAAUUGGUCUUUGAUACACCAAGAUAAUUCAGUAGGGAAAAGAACAGUCUUUCAAUAAAUGGUGCUGGGGACAACUGGACAUCCACAUGCCAAAGUAUGAAGCUGGAUGCUUACCUAACGCUAUGCACAAACAUUAACUCAAAAUUAAUUAACAUUCUAAUGUGACAGCUAAAACCAUAAAGCCCUUGAGGGAAACAUAGCAAUAACUAUUCAAGACCUUAGAUUAGGCAAUGCAUUCUUAAACACCAAAAGAAAAAAUAUAGGUAAAUUGGAUUUCACCAAAAUGAAAAACUUUU